UUUUUUUUUUUUUUUUUUUUUCAUUUUUGAGUUGUCUUUUUUCUUUUACUGAGUGGUGCAGUGGUCCUUCAGAACUGUUUUCCCAACCCUUCUCAAGUUAGGGUAAUCUGAAGCAGAGAGUGGGUGAUCACCUGCAUUAUCUGGGCUUGGUUCCAUCCACAGUAAGAGCAGAUGCAAAAUGAGCUGAGAGUUCCUGUUUGGGGAAAAGUGAAAAGCACAGUGCAAAAACAAAAGCCAAUUUACAGAUUUUCUGUAAGUCACCAUGGAAUGACAUUGUUUUGACAGGUGGGAGGCAGUACAGCUCACUGUACUGAGGGAGAUAUUCUGAGUAGCCAGAAUAUCCCUGUGUGUGUGAAAAGGAAAGUAGGCCAGAGGAAGUCUCCUAAUACAGUCAUUCUUGAUCAACGAAAUUUAGAAGAUAGUAUCUACCAAAAUACCAAACUCUCAAAGCAACAAUAAUUAGGAGAUUACCUGAGUAUCAUUACUUCAUUUACCAAGUCUGUGAAAAACUGGAAACUCAAUCCACAUGCCUGCUCAUUUUUGGCUAUUCUGCUGAAAGUAAUUACAUUACCAACCAACCAGUCAAACAGGCAAAAACCCAUGGUGAAUGCUACCAUUUCACAGAUCUAUUUAAUGGAUGAAUGACCUUUUCAUUUCAUCAGCAUUGGACUUGUAAAAUUAAGUAAAAGCAGAAAAACCAUGAAAAAAGGGGGAUGGAGAUGCUUGCUUUGUCCUGAGGCACUAUGCAAAGACAAGCUUUUGACCAAGUUUGCACUGAGAAAUGCAUUUGACUAAAUACAGCCCUGCAUGGAUGUUUGUGCCCUGAAAGCACCACAGCCCUGUGAUUGUCACUCUGCCAGACUGCACAGACCUACCCCUCAGGUGGGUACAGCCCUGCACUGCCUGGCUGGCACAGUUUCUGUGCUGGCACUCAGACAGCCUCCCCAGGUUUACAUCAAAUCCAUGGUGAUUUGUAAAUGUACUCAAGCUCUCAACCAGUGUGACAUUUUUUAUGCAAAGAGGAAGAGCUGUGAAAGUUGAGUACUUUGCCUCUCUUUCCUUUUCUAUCUAUCAGACUUUUGGUGUAAGUCUCCAGUAGAAAAUGUACUGAGGAAAAUGAAAAGAUUUUUACAAUAUCAAUGAGCUUUCAAUUACACCAAAAGGCCAAGGUUAUGUGGUUGUCCAUCUGUUCCAGUUAUCCAAUGUCCACAGUGGCAGGCUGUCAAAUCCAGUAAUCCACAAAAAGCAAAAAAUGGAAAAAACAAAAGUAACAAAUGAUAGAACCGAGGGGAAAAAGGAAAAAACCCAAACCAGCUGAUUUGUUCUUAAGUUUCUCAAUUACCAAGUAGUUAAUGAUGAAGUAGCUACAACUGGCAAUAUCAAGACUCAACUAAAGCCUUGUGUGUCUGUCAUAAUUUCCCUGUGGUGCCCCACUAGUGGGAUCAACCAGCCCAGAAAACCUCUUUUCCAGGCCUGGCAAAGGGUGUGUGUCUCCUAGUGGCUGGAUCAUUCUGCACACUGUGGCCACCUGGGUAGCAGUGCUGCUCAAACUGACACAGCAAACUGAGCAAUAAAGCUUCUUCUGUAAUGUUCCCUCUUGGGCUGACUACCCCAGAUUUCUAUUGCUCAAGCUUGUUGCUGCCCCUGCAAAGAGAGUCUGCCCAGAGCAAACACACAUCUGAGCAAAGCUGACAUUGCCCUGGCUCUCCUGGGGCCCCAAGCCUCGCUGCCAGAGUAAUGCAAAUAGCUCAUUGAUGCAGAAGACAAUCAGGUCUGAAUCACUUACAACUUAAGCACAAAGAAGCCAAAGGGUAUUAUCAAGGUUUCUUCUGUGGCCUGUUCAUUUCUGAGCAGAGUGCUCAAUGAAUUCGCAAGUUUUAAUGCAGUGUCAGAAGAAACAUAAAGGUAAUGUUAUACUACUCCAAGUGCCAGGUGCAGAGUCAUAGCAGAAAAACAAACCUCACCAAACUGUUAGAUGACUCAUGAUAGAUGAGUCAGAAACUCAUUCUUUCCUACUACACUGUUACCAAUUUAGCAGGCUGCAAAACGAGAAAAUGGAGCUGUGGAUGACAAAGAAGAGAUAAUUUGUGAAAAAUGCCCACAGCUUGUGGGGUAGAUGAAAGCCAAGAUACAUCAAUUAAAAAAUACCAGGAGACACACUAUGUGGGUACAAGGUGUGUCCUGGCUCUUCAAGCAUUUGAGCAAAUAAAUCCAAGUUAUCAUUCUUUCCAGUUGUUUUCUGGUGUAAGCAGGAGCAGGUGCCUUCUCCAAAGACCACAAGUAGGUACACUAGAUACUAGCAGCAUCUGGCACCAAAUUAAAAGCAAACAUGGAUUCUCUUGUGAUCCUCAGUUUGCAUCCUUUGUGAAUUUUAGGGGCAGAAAGUGUUUUCUGCUAGAAGACUGUAGAAAAUAGUGUUAUCAGUGGAUGUCAUAGCACCGAACAAAAGUAAAAGUUCUGAGGUUAUUAGGAGGCCCAUGUUCAAAAAUAUUCACCUUUGCUUCUCUCAUGUGGGCCAGAUUAGCCAGUGAAAUGUGUUUCAUGCGUACGUGAUCCAAGGAAAGGCUUCAUCACCUACAUGACACCAAAGAUAAAGAGUUAAAUAACGGUUUGGGCCAUGUGAGAACCAUCAAAAGUAAGUGAAUUUGCAUUUUGAUUCCACUAGAAAUAGUUCGGUGAGCUAAAACAAAUUACUUCUCUGAGAUUUGUGAUUCCUCUUGUGAAUUAAAAUAUUCUGUAUUUCCAUUCCAAAUGGUGGUCAGCAGAACAAUGCUAUAUAAUAGGCCCACAAAAUAAGUCAUGAUUGUUUCCUGUCUGUCUGCUGUUUCAAAUGGAAUACUUUAAAAUGAGAACUGGGAGAUGUGAGAUGGAAUAGGAGCAUAGAUUCUAAUGGCACAGUUUGAAAGUAACAGAAAUGGUUCAAUAGAAACUUAACAAAGAUCCUUGCUUGCAGAAGGCAUCUCCCUAGGGUUCUUGACAGUAUGGCAUCUGCAUUCUCCUACAUUUCAGGAAUUUAGAACGAGCUCAGAGGGAAAACAAUUCAGAGAAAAACCACGAAACAUAUUAUGGGAAAUGAAAAACACAUCAUAGCAGAAACCUCUCAUUGCUGUAUCUAUGUCCUUUAUAAAAGAAAGGACUGAGGAGUAACACAGUUACUGUCAGUAAGUACCAGCACUGAGCACACAGCGUGAAUGAACUUUUCAAUAUAGUGGACAAAAGUAUAACAAGAUACAUUAGCUGAAAGGUAGACAGUUCAAACUAGGAAUAAGGCACACAUUUUUAACACUGAAAGUAAUUGAAACAAUGUACCAAGGACUCCAGUGAAUUUUCCUUUAGUGAGAAUAUGUAUAUAAUGAUUGGAAAUUUUUCUAGAAGACACAUAACUGAAACAAAAAUUAAUUCAUAGAAGUUCAAUGACAUGUAAUAUACAGGAGGUCAGAGCAGAUUAUCAAAAAUGGGCCUUUGGAGCUUUAGAGUCUAGGACUUUAUGGAACAUUGAAAAAGUAUUAACUAAUUUUCUUCAAGUAGAAUGUCCUUAACAAAGAUCAAUUUCUCUAUCAAUGGAUUUUCCAUACUUCUCAGCACCGUCUUAAGUCUUUCCCAAAAAAAUUAGUUUGGUGUGGUGAGAUCAAUAGUGAUUUCAUAGUGCCUUCUCUUCUUCAUUUUACCUCAGUUAUUAAAAUAACUAUCUAGUUUAAAAAUAUAUAAUCUUUUAUUCCAUUUGAGAAACAACCCACCCAAUUAUAUCUCAUUACAGCAUCUUAAAAUGAAAAUUUAACAAACAUUAACAACUAACAACUUAGAAAUGCCAAAACCUUCAAACUUCUUUAAAAAUUAGCUCAGAACAUUUUUCUAUUAAGAACUAAGUAUUUUUUUAAUAAUUAUGUUUUGUUUCUAAUUUCAGAUUCUUUUGGAGUUAUAUCAAGUGCAAAAGUUUUGGUCCAGCCAUGUGGAAAAUAAUCUUUAUAUGCUUUAAUUGCUCUGCUGAUUCUCUUUCAUCUUUCAAAACUUGUCAUGUGCUAAUACCAAGUCUGGAAAAUGUCAGUCCCAGAAGAUAUGCUUGUCAAAUUAAUAACAACAAAAAGAAACAAAAACCCCAAAACCAACAAACAAAAACAACAACAACAACAACAAACCAAAAACAAACCCAAAAAGGAAGAAGAGUGGUCAUAUUAAGAACUGAUCUCAGUGAUAAUUAUAAUGACAUUUUAGUGUAUAUUAUCAAUUUGCCUGACCUAAGAUGCAGACAUUAUGAGAGUUGCCAGCAGAAGUUGCCCUGGGGAUGGGCUGAAGCAGUCUUUUGAUGCCUAGACUGUCUUUUCUCCCUGGCUGACUUCAUUCACACACCUCGUCAUGCCAAUUUACUCCAGUUUUUCCCCUCCCUCCUCAGCAGUUGGAUGUUGCAACCUGUUUACAGUGAUGAGAUUCCCUUACUGGGUGAACUUUCUGUUACCUGGCAGGAGAAAUUCCUUGGGAAUUAAUGUGGUCUCAGUAUCUGUGAAACAGCUAAGGGAUUAGAGAUGUCUUUUCAAGACACUGAAGUUUUCUGAUAAAAACCACAGCAGCAUUCUUCCAGAACUGCAGAACAGUACUGAUCCCAUAAAAAACUCUGGGAGAUUUUGCAAGUAAAAAGUGACCAUCCAUGUUAGCUAUGGGUUAAUAGUGCUCCAGUCUCAGUGAAAAGUGAUGUAUACAAUGGCUGCAAAUGUCACAUGCAGCUCUACUUACGCUGCUGCAGGGAGUUUAUGCUUUACCCAGCAUGACAAGGCAUAAAGAAUUUGGACUGGGAAUAUCCAAGGUAGAAUGAGAUUAGCAUGGUGCAAGAAAAAAGCCCAUCUUUUUUCCCCUGCAUCUGUCUGCAUCUCUUUUUUCUCAUCUGUAGUCUUGAGGUUUUGUGUCCAUUGAAAAAUCCUCAGAGGGGAGCUGAGCUAGAAAUGUAUGGAGCCAGGCACACUCUUGUCCUGCUGUGACUAGAAAGAAGUCACUUGGUGACUUUUCAAUAGCUCCUCAGAGCAGUGCCCACAACUACCUUGCUCUAAAACACUCUUACCUUUGGAGAUACAUCCACUUCCAGGACACCCUGCUUCUGCUUCCUAUUACAUUCAAUUAGGGUGAACCUGGAUUUCUGUCUGGAGUGCAUUUCAGUGAAAAAUAAAAUAAAAUAAAAUGGCCUGUCACAAGUGAAAUAGUUCAGGAAUUAGUGAAGUAUUGUGGACUGAUAAGAAUGGUUUCUUUCCACAGAGAAUGGAAGCCAAAAUGGCUGUGAAUCUCAUUUUAGCAUCUAGCAAAAAAAUCUGCCAGCCUGGUUAUAGUAAGGAUGAUAAUAUUAUGUUGUUUAAUCUUAUCUGGAUAUGUCCCCACUGGUGGUUUCCUGCUGGUAAACCACAGAGAAGAGAGGCAGUAGUAAGUAAACUAGAGGAAGUGAGAUGAAAUAUAGUAUGCUCUUUUGGUUAAUAGGGGAUUCAUGUAAAGGAUAUUGCUAAUUAAAACCAAUGGUAUUUUCUGCCAUCUGGGCUUUCAAAACUAGUUUCAGAGGAUACAGAGGAUGUUUUGUUUCACUGAAUUGCUCAUAUCUUAGGGAAGCCACUGGGAUGAAAUAUUAGUUUGUGGUAAACUCUGCUUGCACUUUGGGAGCAACAUGUAAAAUAAGCACUUUACAGAGUUUGAGUACAUGGUUUCACCCAUAUAAUGUCCAAAUGAAAGGGCAACUUGGGGUUAGAAGAACAAAAUCCACUCAGCCUAUUCUGAGGUAUAAGAAACUGCCAAAUCUUAGUGGUUACUGGAAUAGGACUUCUUGGAUGCACCAGGCUAUACAAGUGCGGCUGCAGGGCUGCUGGAUCUAUGGAAACAUGGAGUCUGGGGAUUUGCCUGCAGUGCUGACCUUCGGACCAGCCUGUGAAUGGCAUGGUGAUUCACUGAGAGCCUGUGAAGCCAGAGCUGCAUUGCUGCUGCUGCUCACAGCCUUCCUCUGGUUGACCAAAGGGAGUUGAAGUUGCUCCAAAGACCUAGCCAGAAUUCCCAAAUAGAGCACCUCGCCUUGUUAAGUGCAUUAGGAAAUACUGAGCAACCUCAGCAAAAAGAUUUGUGAGUGAGAUGACAUCUUUAUGUAUCAGUGAAAUCUUGUGCUCAGCAUACACUUACUUCAUCUGGAUUCUAGGCUUAUGCACAAGGCUGAGGAAACAAACCUAAACUUUCUUCAGCUUGCCUAUUUCUAUUUGCCUUCUGUCAGCAAAACAAGCCUCAUCAUGUGGCUACCGGAUGUCUUUUCCCCCUCCCACACCACUUCCAAGGAUCUCAGUUGGAUCCACUUCCCUAAGAACGAAUGAAAAAGUCCAGUUUGGUUGUUAGAGUUGUCUUUAUGUCACUGGAAACAAACACUUAGUAGGUGAUGUUGGAACAAUUCCUUGUGUGCUAACAGUGUCUGAAGACUAGUUUCACAUGUGGCUGAGCUGGGUACUCUGAAAGUUAAAUAUCAACAGGAGAAGUGAAGUUAAAUCAGAACAGGAGGAGAGAACUGCAGGAAAAAGGUGGCACCCAUCUUAAUCAGAGCUGCCCAGCAUGUAGUCUGUGGGGUGUCUUCUGUCUGAUUUCUGCUUGCAUGUUACUUGUGUAGCUGAGCUGUUAU
RNAcentral lists this long non-coding RNA (6625 nucleotides) under Taeniopygia guttata (zebra finch). RNAcentral describes it as "lncRNA (ENSTGUG00000022989.1)". The record is from RNAcentral. Lineage: Eukaryota; Metazoa; Chordata; Aves; Passeriformes; Estrildidae.